GAUUAUCGGUAUAGGAUGGGGAUGCGUCUGAUUAGCUUGUUGGUGAGGUAACGGCUCACCCAAGGCCACGAUCCAGUAGGGGUUCUGACGAGGAAGGUCCCCCACAUUGGAACUGAGACACGGUCCAAACUCCUACGGGAGGCAGCAGUGAGGAAUAUUGGUCAAUGGACGAGAGUCUGAACCAGCCAAGUAGCGUGCAGGAUGACGGCCCUAUGGGUUGUAAACUGCUUUUGUUUGGGAAUAAUCGACAUUACGUGUAAUGUUUUGCAUGUACCAUUCGAAUAAGGACCGGCUAAUUCCGUGCCAGCAGCCGCGGUAAU
This 320-nucleotide ribosomal RNA is filed under the name uncultured Prevotella sp. RNAcentral describes it as "bacterial SSU rRNA". It matches the Rfam family "Bacterial small subunit ribosomal RNA", at positions 210 to 524 of the family's 1533-position model. Lineage: Bacteria; Pseudomonadati; Bacteroidota; Bacteroidia; Bacteroidales; Prevotellaceae. The record is from RNAcentral.